RNAcentral lists this microRNA precursor (77 nucleotides) under Diaphorina citri (Asian citrus psyllid). RNAcentral's name for it is "mir-10 microRNA precursor family". It matches the Rfam family "mir-10 microRNA precursor family". Rfam says of the family: In this case the mature sequence comes from the 5' arm of the precursor. The extents of the hairpin precursors are not generally known and are estimated based on hairpin prediction. The record is from Rfam by way of RNAcentral. Lineage: Eukaryota; Metazoa; Arthropoda; Insecta; Hemiptera; Psyllidae.
CUUGGGAACCCGUAGAUCCGAACUUGUGUUUAUAAACUUUAAGAUCUCUCAAGUUCGAUUCUAUGGGAUUCUCAAUG